RNAcentral lists this ribosomal RNA (480 nucleotides) under uncultured bacterium. Its description in RNAcentral is "partial 16S ribosomal RNA". It matches the Rfam family "Bacterial small subunit ribosomal RNA", at positions 28 to 523 of the family's 1533-position model. The record is from RNAcentral.
GACGAACGCUGGCGGCGUGCCUAACACAUGCAAGUCGAGCGAGUGAAUCUCCUUCGGGUGUGAAGCUAGCGGCGGACGGGUGAGUAACACGUGGGCAACCUACCUCAUAGAGGGGAAUAGCCUUUCGAAAGGAAGAUUAAUACACCAGAAGAUUGUAGCUUCGCAUGAAGUAGCAAUUAAAGGAGCAAUCCGCUAUGAGAUGGGCCCGCGGGGCAUUAGCUAGUUGGUGAGGUAACGGCUCACCAAGGCGACGAUGCGUAGCCGACCUGAGAGGGUGAUCGGCCACAUUGGGACUGAGACACGGCCCAGACUCCUACGGGAUGCAGCAGUGGGGAAUAUUGCACAAUGGGGGAAACCCUGAUGCAGCAACGCCGCGUGAGUGAUGACGGCCUUCGGGUUGUAAAGCUCUGUCUUCAGGGACGAUAAUGACGGUACCUGAGGAGGAAGCCACGGCUAACUACGUGCCAGCCGCCGCAGUAA